GACGAACGCUGGCGGCGUGCUUAACACAUGCAAGUCGAGCGAGACCCCGCUUUCGGGUGGGUGUUCUAGCGGCGAACGGGUGAGUAACACGUGGGCAACCUGCCCUCAGCUCUGGGAUAACUCCAAGAAAUUGGGGCUAAUACCGGAUAUGACCGCUGACCGCAUGGUCUGGUGGUGGAAAGAUUUAUCGGCUGGGGAUGGGCCCGCGGCCUAUCAGCUUGUUGGUGGGGUAGUGGCCUACCAAGGCGACGACGGGUAGCCGGCCUGAGAGGGUGACCGGCCACACUGGGACUGAGACACGGCCCAGACUCCUACGGGAGACAGCAGUGGGGAAUAUUGCGCAAGGGGCGAAAGCCUGACGCAGCGACGCCGCGUGGGGGAUGACGGCCUUCGGGUUGUAAACCUCUUUCAGCAGGGACGAAGCGAAAGUGACGGUACCUGCAGAAGAAGCACCGGCCAACUACGUGCCAGCAGCCGCCGUAA
Molecule: ribosomal RNA, 483 nt
Filed under: uncultured bacterium
Lineage: Bacteria
Description: partial 16S ribosomal RNA
Rfam family: Bacterial small subunit ribosomal RNA
Source: RNAcentral